This 460-nucleotide ribosomal RNA is filed under the name uncultured bacterium. RNAcentral's name for it is "partial 16S ribosomal RNA". It matches the Rfam family "Bacterial small subunit ribosomal RNA", at positions 338 to 795 of the family's 1533-position model. The record is from RNAcentral.
CCUACGGGUGGCUGCAGUGGGGAAUAUUGGUCAAUGGGCGUAAGCCUGAACCAGCCACGUCGCGUGAGGGAUGAAGGUUCUAUGGAUCGUAAACCUCUUUUAUAAGGGAAUAAAGUGUAGGACGUGUCCUGUUUUGUAUGUACCUUAUGAAUAAGGAUCGGCUAACUCCGUGCCAGCAGCCGCGGUAAUACGGAGGAUCAGAGCGUUAUCCGGAUUUAUUGGGUUGAAAGGGUGCGUAGGCGGCCUUAUAAGUCAGCGGUGAAAGUCUGUGGCUCAACCAUGGAAUUGCAGUUGAAACUGGCAGGAUUGAGUAUGUUUGAGGCAGGCGGAAUGCGUGGUGUAGCGGUGAAAUGCUUAGAUAUUACGAAGAACCCCGAUGGCGAAGGCAGCCUGCUAAGCCAUGACUGACGCUGAGGCACGAAAGCGUGGGGAUCAAACAGGAUUAGAUACCCCGGUAGUC